This 420-nucleotide ribosomal RNA is filed under the name Acrorrhinium inexpectatum. Its description in RNAcentral is "partial large subunit ribosomal RNA". The stretch from base 293 to 420 matches the Rfam family "Bacterial large subunit ribosomal RNA", at positions 2473 to 2600 of the family's 2925-position model. The record is from RNAcentral. Lineage: Eukaryota; Metazoa; Arthropoda; Insecta; Hemiptera; Miridae.
GUCUUUUAAUUGAAGUCUGGUAUGAAUGGUUUGAUGAAAAAUUUACUUUCUUUGGCUUAUAUAAUUAAUUUAAUGUUCUAGUGAAAAAGCUAGAAUUUUAUUAAAGGACGAGAAGACCCUAUAAAACUUUAUUUUUAAGGAUUUUUGAUUUAUAUUGAUUAUAUUGGAUUAAAUUUUUCUAGGAAAUUUGGUUGGGGUGACAGAAAAAAUUUUAUAACUUUUUUUGUAUUUAUCACUUUUAGGUGUGAAAUUUUGAUCCUUUAUUAGGGAAAAAAGAUUAAGUUACUUUAGGGAUAACAGCGUUAUUAUUUUAGAGAGUUCAUAUUGAUAAAAUAGUUUGCGACCUCGAUGUUGGAUUAAAAAUAGUGAUAGGGGCAUAAUAUUAUUAACUAGGUCUGUCUCGACCUUUAAAUUUUUACA